CAAGUGAAAGAGAAUGUGUAGCAAUACACAUGUAAAGUGGCGAACGGGUGAGGAUUACAUGGGUAACCUACCCUCGAGUGGGGAAUAACCAGCCGAAAGGUUGGCUAAUACCGCGUACGCUUCCGGAACUGCGGUUUCGGAAGGAAAGCGAUACCGUGGGUAUCGCGCUCUUGGAUGGGCUCAUGCCCUAUCAGCUUGUUGGUGAGGUAACGGCUCACCAAGGCUUCGACGGGUAGCUGAUCUGAGAGGAUGAUCAGCCACACUGGCACUGCGACACGGGCCAGACUCCUACGGGAGGCAGCAGUAAGGAAUAUUGCGCAAUGGGCGAAAGCCUGACGCAGCGACGCCGCGUGGGGGAUGAAGGUCUUCGGAUUGUAAACCCCUUUCGGGAGGGAAGAUGGGAUGGGGUAACCCAUUCGGACGGUACCUCCAGAAGCAGCCACGGCUAACUUCGUGCCAGCAGCCGCGGUAAUACGAAGGUGGCAAGCGUUGUUCGGAUUUACUGGGCGUACAGGGAGCGUAGGCGGUUGGAUAAGCCCUCCGUGAAAUCUCCAGGCUUAACCUGGAAAGUGCAGAGGGGACUGUUCAGCUAGAGGAUGGGAGAGGAGCGCGGAAUUCCCGGUGUAGCGGUGAAAUGCGUAGAGAUCGGGAGGAAGGCCGGUGGCGAAGGCGGCGCUCUGGAACAUUUCUGACGCUGAGGCUCGAAAGCGUGGGGAGCAAACAGGAUUAUAAUACCCUGGUAGUCCACGCCUUAAACGAUGGAUACUAAGUGUCGGCGGGUUACC
Molecule: ribosomal RNA, 785 nt
Filed under: uncultured Nitrospira sp.
Lineage: Bacteria; Pseudomonadati; Nitrospirota; Nitrospiria; Nitrospirales; Nitrospiraceae
Description: bacterial SSU rRNA
Rfam family: Bacterial small subunit ribosomal RNA
Source: RNAcentral